GCCUUCGUGGUGUAAUGGUCAGCACACUGAGCCGGUAUUUCAGUGGUCCGCGGUUCGAUUCCCGGAGAAGGCG
Molecule: non-coding RNA, 73 nt
Organism: Stegodyphus mimosarum
Lineage: Eukaryota; Metazoa; Arthropoda; Arachnida; Araneae; Eresidae
Source: Rfam